GACAGAGGGGGCAAGCGUUGCUCGGAAUUACUGGGCGUAAAGGGCGCGUAGGCGGGAUGGCAAGUCGGUCGUGAAAUACCUCGGCUCAACUGAGGAGCGUCGAUCGAAACUGCCGUUCUUGAGGGUUGCAGAGGAGACUGGAAUUCCCGGUGUAGCGGUGAAAUGUGUAGAGAUCGGGAGGAACACCGGUGGCGAAGGCGGGUCUCUGGGCAAUUCCUGACGCUGAGGCACGAAGGCCAGGGGAGCAAACGGG
RNAcentral lists this ribosomal RNA (253 nucleotides) under uncultured bacterium. Its description in RNAcentral is "partial 16S ribosomal RNA". It matches the Rfam family "Bacterial small subunit ribosomal RNA", at positions 524 to 776 of the family's 1533-position model. The record is from RNAcentral.